RNAcentral lists this ribosomal RNA (465 nucleotides) under uncultured bacterium. Its description in RNAcentral is "bacterial SSU rRNA". It matches the Rfam family "Bacterial small subunit ribosomal RNA", at positions 338 to 795 of the family's 1533-position model. The record is from RNAcentral.
CCUACGGGCGGCACCAGUAGGGAAUCUUCGGCAAUGGACGAAAGUCUGACCGAGCAACGCCGCGUGAGUGAAGAAGGUUUUCGGAUCGUAAAACUCUGUUGUUAGAGAAGAGCAAGGACGUUAGUAACUGAACGUCCCCUGACGGUAUCUAACCAGAAAGCCACGGCUAACUACGUGCCAGCAGCCGCGGUAAUACGUAGGUGGCAAGCGUUGUCCGGAUUUAUUGGGCGUAAAGCGAGCGCAGGCGGUUUCUUAAGUCUGAUGUGAAAGCCCCCGGCUCAACCGGGGAGGGUCAUUGGAAACUGGGAGACUUGAGUACAGAAGAGGAGAGUGGAAUUCCAUGUGUAGCGGUGAAAUGCGUAGAUAUAUGGAGGAACACCAGUGGCGAAGGCGGCUCUCUGGUCUGUGACUGACGCUGAGGCUCGAAAGCGUGGGGAGCAAACAGGAUUAGAUACCCUUGUAGUC